Molecule: ribosomal RNA, 493 nt
Filed under: uncultured bacterium
Lineage: Bacteria
Description: bacterial SSU rRNA
Rfam family: Bacterial small subunit ribosomal RNA
Source: RNAcentral
GAUCAUGGCUCAGGAUGAACGCUAGCGGCAGGCCUAACACAUGCAAGUCGAACGGUAGAGGGGGCAACCCCUUGAGAGUGGCGAACGGGUGAGUAAUAUAUCGGAACGUGCCCAGUCGUGGGGGAUAACGUAGCGAAAGUUACGCUAAUACCGCAUACGAUCUACGGAUGAAAGCGGGGGAUCGCAAGACCUCGCGCGAUUGGAGCGGCCGAUAUCAGAUUAGGUAGUUGGUGAGGUAAAGGCUCACCAAGCCAACGAUCUGUAGCUGGUCUGAGAGGACGACCAGCCACACUGGAACUGAGACACGGUCCAGACUCCUACGGGAGGCAGCAGUGGGGAAUUUUGGACAAUGGACGCAAGUCUGAUCCAGCCAUUCCGCGUGCAGGAUGAAGGCCCUCGGGUUGUAAACUGCUUUUGUACGGAACGAAAAGGUCUCUCUUAAUACGGGGGGCUCAUGACGGUACCGUAAGAAUAAGCACCGGCUAACUACGUG